GGAGGAAUAGGCUAACUGGUAAGUCAGCGGUCUUGAAAACCGCCGCCGCAAGGCUUGGGGGUUCGAGUCCCUCUUCCUCCG
Molecule: transfer RNA, 81 nt
Filed under: Fibrobacteres bacterium CG2_30_45_31
Lineage: Bacteria; Pseudomonadati; Fibrobacterota
Also listed under: 1 other name
Description: tRNA-Ser
Rfam family: tRNA
About the family: Transfer RNA (tRNA) molecules are approximately 80 nucleotides in length.
Source: RNAcentral